Bos taurus (domestic cattle) is the source of this 1069-nucleotide long non-coding RNA. NCBI's taxonomy places the organism in Eukaryota, Metazoa, Chordata, Mammalia, Artiodactyla, Bovidae. The record is from Ensembl.
GUGGGGUACAUGAUCAGCUCAUGGACAUUCUUCUGAUAGCUUGGUGGUGAGUGCUGGAGAAGACUCUUGAGAGUCCCUUGGACUGCAAGGAUAUCAAACCAGUCACUCCUAAAGGAAAUCAACCCUGAAUAUUCAUUGGAAGAGAGAAAAUUGGAAGAUGCCAAAGCUGAAGCUCCAAUACUUUGGCCACCUGAUGCAAAGAGCCAACUCAUUGGAAAAGAAUUUGAUGCUGGGAAAGAUUGAAGUCAAAAAGAGAAGGGGACAACAGAGGAUGAGAUGGUUGGAUGGCAUCACCCACUCAAUGGACAUGAAUUUGAGUAAUCUCCAGGAGAUAGUGGAGGACAGAGGAGCCUGCAGCCUGGCUGCAGUCCAUGGGGUCAUAAAGAAUCAGACAUGACUUUGUGACUGAACAACAACAAUAUAUUUCAAGUCAAUGGUGAAAAUUUUGUAACCACACAAUUUGUUGGUUUAGUCAAUGUAAUUAAAAUAUUUCAAGGACUUCCCUGGAGGUUCAAUAGUUAAGAUUCUGUUUUCAAUACAGGGGGCUCAGGUUUAAGCUCUGGUCUGGGAACUAAUAGCCCACAUACUGUCUGGCACAGCCAAAAAAAAAAAAGGAAAAUAUAUUUUAAAUUUCAUAAAUGUUAAUAUAUGAUCCUGAUGUUGACCUUAGUAUAAUAUUUUUAAAGAGUAGGUUGGAAAGAAGUUGGGAAGUCCUAGAACUGUAAUUCCAAUAUUCCAACCCUGUUAAUAUAUAAUUACAAUGAGUUCAGAACCUUCAGAUUUUCAUUCCCUGUCUGACAUCAAUAAUGCAAAAUAUCUAUUCCCAUUUGACUCUCUGAUAUUUACAUAGUCUUUCAAGAGACUGCAUUAGAAGUGACUUAAUGACCAUGCAGGCUCACGGCAUCUUGUUGCUCUACAGGCUGACUUCAGAUGUAUUGGGAAAUUCUGUGUGGGAACAAACACUGGCAGUGCCCCUGCCAAGGGCACUGAAUCAACAUGCCAGAGCACAGUCCUCAUUCCCAGCCAGCCAAGCUGGGCACACAGAGCCUGGCUCACUGGUUCAGAGCAC